GGACAGAACAAAGGGCAGCGAAACCGCGAGGUUAAGCCAAUCCCACAAAUCUGUUCUCAGUUCGGAUCGCAGUCUGCAACUCGACUGCGUGAAGCUGGAAUCGCUAGUAAUCGCGGAUCAGCAUGCCGCGGUGAAUACGUUCCCGGGCCUUGUACACACCGCCCGUCACACCACGAGAGUUUGUAACACCCGAAGUCGGUGAGGUAACCUCUAGGAGCCA
This 220-nucleotide ribosomal RNA is filed under the name Bacillus subtilis. Its description in RNAcentral is "partial 16S ribosomal RNA". It matches the Rfam family "Bacterial small subunit ribosomal RNA", at positions 1232 to 1451 of the family's 1533-position model. Lineage: Bacteria; Bacillati; Bacillota; Bacilli; Caryophanales; Bacillaceae. The record is from RNAcentral.